AGUGAGUUUUUUACGGUGACACGUUUUGUUGUGCAUGACAACCACCGACGAGGGACGACAUUGCAGGCCCCUAUAGUGUUCCGCACUUAAAAUAGAACAGCCUUUGGUAUCAAAACUUGGCAUUCUGUCGUAAACAAGAGAAUGUAUUGGUUUCAACUUGCUUAGGGCCGCCGCGAUAUCGUGUUCUGAGAAACAUAAAAUGUGGAAAUGGCCACUGAAACUCCAGUGCCAGUCACUAAAACUCUCUGCAGGGAAUGAAUGCUUCCAAAGUAUGUUUUACAGUAUCAGUAAACAUGCUAACUGCUAUGUCAAUAUCUGUGACGCAAUACUAUUCAGACCAGUCAGCAUCAUUCAAAUAGUAGUAAAGACCUAGAUAGUCGCCUUUCAGAAAAAAAAGAGUGAACAGGCUUGCUCAACACAUGAAUCAACUCUCGAAAAAUUGUGAAUGCGAGCGGGUCAACAGGAACUAAACCGCUAACAGCAACAGAAUACUCAACACCAAAGAAAUUAGCCAGAAUCAGAUCUAAAACAUUUCCAGCGGCAUUUGGAACAGUGUCAAACUGUUAAUCCGAGAAAUUCGAUAAAGAACAGCGCGUCACAGCGAGGGGAUCAAGAUACGGAUGUCGCACGUGAAGAAUCCCAAACACUGGACGGAACAUUGAAAUCUCCAGCUACGAGGAUAUUAUAUUUUGCAACGUCAAUAGCUUCAACUAAGUUAUUCAUAUGCUCAGAAAACCGCACGUUACUUAUGGUAAGAGGGAAGUAGGCUGCGCCGAGCCACAAAACUUUGCCGCUCUUAACAGGAAUGUCAACCAACACAGUUUCUGGUACAUUCUCAAUGUCCGCUCGCCUUAAAACGGACUUUUCCGCACGGUAAUUAGCGCACCGCCGCCGUAUUUAACGCGCGCAUCAUACACGCGGUCAGAUCUGUAAACUGUGCAUGCCAGUGGAAAUUAAUGCUUAGUAAGUCGUUGGGGGGGGGGGGGGGGCAAAGCCAAGCUUACGUUAAGAAAAUAACAUGGUAUGAGCAGGCUAUCACGUUCUCGUAGAAAUGGGAAGAUUUCGUGCGUGGACUACGAACAUUUUGGUCAAAAAACUUAGCACUUCAUGAACGAGGUUAGAAAGGAAAUUACGUUAUUUUGUCGCUGGCAUCCAUGAAUGCGUCAUGCCUGCCGUAGAAAGGCUUGAACAGGCAACCCUUCGACCAAAUAUUUCCCGAGUUUAUUUAGAUAGCUGUCCGCUGUACUUUCGGACAUAGUCGUGUUUUUGUUUGGCAAAAGGUGAAAGAGCACGUCGCAAUAGGAACGCAGAUAUAAUUUCAUGGGGAUUGCACCGGACUAACGCCAACGAAAAAAAAGUACGGUGUUUUAACUCGCCCUGUCCCUAAGGCCUGGUACAAUAGCGACGUGCUUGCUUAGCUAAAUGGUGGAGCACAAAUAGCUGGCGCUGUGUAUCAUAAUACCGUUGGAUGCGAAUGUCGUAUUCCGAAGCAACUGUUUCAUAUCGUACACUCAUGGCCCACCCAAAAUUACGCAUCUAUUUUCUUUGUCACAGUUAUGAUAUAGCUGACCCCCCUAAAUACUAGCCCGAUUUCUAAGUAAAUCUCGUAACAGCAAUGGGACUCUAAAGGCACACUAAAGAUAAAAAUAUUUUUACCUGUAUUAAUAAAGCAGUCUUUCACCAUCCCCGAAAAGCUACACGUCUACCACAAGAGCAGGCUUAGUAAACCAGAAAUCGCACGAAAAAGAAAGACUAGUGGCGACGCUGCUUUGAAGUUCCCGCACUAGCUCGCCGUGAUGCCAUAUAUUUUCAUGGCGUCCGGUCGGAUCUAUUGGUAACUGUUUAUCUGUGAAGAUGAAAUACGUUGUAUUCUAAAGGAGCCGAAGACCGAACUUGGCAAGCUUCGUGAACUUUUAUUGAGCCAUGAAGACCAAAAUACGAAAAAAAAGAUACUUUGAAAUUUGUUACGUUACACUGGCGAGAAAUUUAAGAAAUAGGUCUUCGACUUUUUUUUUUCUACUGAUAAUAAACAUACUACGACGAAAUUAGGGAAAACUGAGUUUGAAAGAAUACUUACACUGUAUUCACACAUUUAGUGCUUCUCCUUUUACUUAAGUUUGGUGUAUCCUCCUGCAGGCCUGAAGGAAGGUGAGGGACAUAAACGCUUUUACUUUGUUUUUUUUUUUCAUUUCUUAAUGAUUUUGUGGCUUAAACAUCGACCUAAAUUUAUGGGGUCUUGCGUGGAAUGACCAAGAUCUGAUUAUGAGACAUGGCUUAAACAAGGACAUGAAGAUGCAACAUCAUGCGACGGAUUGGCAUCCUAAUGCUACAACCGAGAUUUUUAUGUCGUCUCGAAUGAUAAUUGUAUUCCGAUGUUCAACAUGGCUUUGCCUUCUAUCCUUGUUUUGAAGGUUUCUGCAGAGCACGAUAUUUUUUUCAGAUUCAGAUUUUAUUAGUUCCAAAAAAGUUGUUACAUCAAAUGUAUACCGACAAGUUCAUGCUGAAAGUUCAUGAAAGUUCAUGUUCAACCUUUUGCUGGAACUAGACGUCAAUAAGUUUCCUGCCCUGGAUGAUAUAUCAAAUGCUUUUCUUUAAAGGUAUGCAGAAUGGUGUGCAAAGUAUUUAUUUAUAUUGUUUCAUAUGUCUCUGAACGAUAGUGGUUGGCCACAGGACUCGGCCGGAAUCAUACCAUGACAAAAAUCCCAUGACAAGUCAAGGAUUGAAAAUUACCGACCAAUUUAUUAAACCUACUUCUUGUAAAAUCUUCGAGCAUAUAUGCUAUUUGUAAACAUACAUUUGAUUUUCUUGAAUGAACCAAAGUGCUAACAAAUGCAUACCACGGCGUUAGACGCGGUUAACUAACAAGCAUGGCCACUGGAUAAAAAAAAAAGUGUGGUCUGCCACGUCAGGCGGGCUGCAAUGGCAGCGAAUGUGACAGCCGUAGUUGCAUUCUAUGCCGCUUGGCUGGCCCGAACGACGCUAGCUGACGGGGAUGGGACGCGUCGGCUUCCACGGGUGACGGUGUUUUGAGUUAUGAGCGCGUUCCUGACGUAUUUUCUAAGCUGAUCCCAGACAACAGUUCCCGACUGGUGGCGACGUGGUGGAUGACGCCGUUUUCGAUGCACGCGGCAGGUGGCAAUUUUUUUUUAUCCAGCGGCCGUGUAACAACAAUUGGAAUUACGCCCGAAUUUUCAGUCGCAAUAAAUAAAGGAAAACAAACAGACGUUAUUUACAUGGACUUUUGUAACGCAAUCGAUAGUCUCGUACAGUAAAGUGCUUCACAAAUGAAGGUUUACAAUAAGAAAUCACACACUACCCUCCAUGGAUUAGAGCUACUCAAACAGCGUUGGUGUUCAUUCUGGCGUUCUCCGGGGGUACGUGCUUGGUCCUCUAAUGUUUUAAUUUUAGCAAAGUUCUGCCAAAAUUCUUCUUCUUAAGACGCUAUUUGAAAUUAUCCACACGUACUCUACGUCUGCUUGCAUAUCAGUUUAUUCUAUGUCGAAUGCUCGAGUACAGAGUACUCAUUUGGUAUCCAUACACCAAGACUAGGGGUGUGCGAAUAUUCGAAAAUUUCAAAUGAAAAAGUGGAGAUUGUCCUAUUCGAUUAUAUAGGUGCUUUAAUUGAAUAUUCACUAUUUGAAAAAAACGAAUAUUUAUUGAAUACAUUUCAAAUAAUUAACUUCGCCGACUCUACACAAUCAAACAUGAAAAUGAAGCAAAUAUACGAUAGUUUUUAUCCCAUCCACUGGGGAGGCAACGUACCAGAGCACGCCACACUUUUCCUGCUAAACACCAUCACUCGAAAUAAAAUGUUUAGACAGGGUAUUCCGGUGGUGAGUGGGUAUUGUUUGGUACUGCAGUCGUCAAAUCUCGUUCUUACAAAGUCGAACCUGACACAAGAAUAGCUUCGUUAUAUCCGAUAAUCGUUAUAUAAACUUUUGCGGCGCUAGGUGUUGUCUCGAGUCCGGCAUUAUUUGGUAGCGUGGCGGAGGCUUCGGGAUGAAGAAAUCCCAAGCUCGGAAGUUUGUAAAGAGAAAACAAACAUGCUUACUGGUACUUGUAUACAACUUAUUUACACGCUCGAAUAAUUAAAACAGAAAAGUUCAAAUGUUUCGCAACGAGCGUCUGGAUGAGCCUUGUUUCCAUGGCCCAAAGCACCUUUUUCUUCUCCGCACUGUCAUUAUAACACCUGUUCAAAACCCUCGCUCCUGGCGGUAGCCAAUCACGCACAGGUCACAACCCACCAGGACGAUAGCCAAUCAAGAAGCACAAACACUCUCCCAGACGGACUGUCAGUGGGCGACACCGCAAAGAUCCAGCGGGCGCAAAGGCGCAGGGAAAGGCUGGCCGCGGGAAUGGGAGAGGAAAUCUUUUUCUUCGAACUACUAAGUCGUUCGUUAUGAGAAAGGAAAGGUUGCCGCUAUCUUCUGCAGCCCACGAGGGAGCACCGCUCAGCGCCAGUUUCUUCGAACUGGUUUCCUCCGCUGCUUCUCGGUAAGACAGGCGUCCCUUCGCGUCGUUCCUGCCUCCGCCGGAGCGUCAACUCUCUCUUCCCUUUGUGGCACUUCUUCCUUGACGGGGGGAGCUCGUUUCGGGAGAAUUAGCAGCGCCCAGCAUUGCGUGAGAACGGUUCUCCGACUAUCUUCCCAGCGUGGUUCCCAUAUUCCAAUGUGGCGCGUGACAAACAGCAUGUUGUCUACUGCAGUCACAAUAGCUUCCAGCAUUGCGUGGGAACUGUCCUCCGACUAUCUUUCCAACGUUGUUCUUGCAUUCCACUCUGGCACGUGGCAAACAGCAUGUUGCUACUACAGUCAUAACAAAACACAUAUCUGUUGCACUGUAAUAGCGUUAAGGUGACUUUUUAUUUACUUCGUUAUAUCCAAUAAGUCGCCAUAUCUGUAUACGUUAUAUUGAGGUUCGACUGUAUUUAUAGAUGCGGCGCUCUCAUCGAAUUAAAUUAAAAUACGUUUCAUUGCAACAUACUUCAUACAACAGUGACUGUGGUUAAAUGACAGGACCUCUGUUGUGCGUUCGCAAUCGCAGAGAGUUGGCCGCCUUUUUCUAACGUGUUACCGAAAACAAAGACAUUUCUUGACUUCGUUAUACAAGCAUUCGACUGCAUACAACUAGUUGGUCCUCACGAAGUGCUUGAGACCUCCAAAAUCUUCCGUUAUACCGGUCACUUCGUUGUAUAAAGAUCGCACACCGUAUUGCUCACAAUAGAGCAGGCUAAGCACGCUGAACAAAAGAAAACCUUAAUUUAACACGAAUUCAAGAGAGACUUAGGGAAAUAAAUUGCUAAUUUAUUUCACACUUCGUCUGACGCAAUAUUCCGCUGCAUCCGACCUUAUUGCACCGAGGUUCCUAGCAUGUUCCGCGGCGCCGCGCAGGAGCUGCGCAAAGCGAGGCUGUAGAUCGUCGAAUGCCGCCAUCGCCUCCCUUUCCGUCAAAAUUCUUGGUUCGUUUAGACUCUUCACCAUCGGCAACAUUCGCGUCCUUUCCGUUCUGGGUCACUUUGAAGACGUCAUUGGUCGCCAGAUAUAAUUACAUUAUCACGUCACUAUGACCUUUCACGUAUUCGUCAGCCGUCGCACCCGCGGCUAUGUUACAAGCAGCGUACCAGAUAAAGAGAUUCCUGGAACAGUGAAGCAAGUCUGUAAUGCUUGCUCACAUUGGUACGCUCAUCAAGUGCGUCGCUAGAGCUGCCGUUAGCGCUAGCGCAGAGCGCAGCUCAACGGCGUCUGCGGAGGGAAGUGGCGGCACCGCUAUGUGGCAUUCGUUGAAAAGCCACAAAUCAGCCGUCAUAGACUCACCAUGGGUUCCUUCGUUUUGCAGGCAAACUUGUUGCGCGGGUCUUCGUUGGAGAGGCGUUCACAAUACAUAUGAAACGUAGCAAUUAGGCCGGGACAUAAUCCUUCGUUAUACAGGUCAUAUCGUUUUAUAGGCGCUUGACUGUACUCAGUGAAGUGAUCACGUUGCCGCCGUUGUGUGCCCCCUUCCUUUCAAGUGAUCCGCUCUUCCUGGAGGAAGGGUUUCCGGAGGGCGUGGCUUCCGACCUCCGGCGCAGGGGUCACCGCAUAGAACCAGGCUUUGUGUCUCGUUAUGAUCGGAGCACCAGAAGCAUGGCCCAUAUCGUCACACGAGGCAGCUGGUGGGACCGCACUUCCAAGUGUGCGGUCCAGGAAGUGGCGCCCGUCCUGUGGUUCGGCUGCGAGCCUCGGAGCGACGGUAUGGCAGCCGCGGCACCGCCUGAAGAUGUACACUGAAGACCGCGGCGUGCGCGCUGUGUUGCUGCGGUACUCGCAUCAGAAAGCCUCAGACGAGCGGUGCAGUCAUGGUCACAUCCGCGUCUUCGCCGUCGAGCUUCAGGCGUUGCAUGAAUGACAUAACGUCACAUAGUUAAUGAAGACGACUGGGCUAGUUCGCGCAAUUUGGAAGGCUCGGACAAAAUUAAGCGCACUAAAGGACAACGAACUAAAAGAAACAGGCCAUAAAGGGCGAUAACUUCAACAGGAACUAAGCGGCUGUGGAAAGCGUCUUCGUACCGCACAUCGUAUUCGCAAUAUUAAUCACAAGAGCGGUAGUGGGAGGUGAACAAACAGGCUGGGACAAUUAUAUAUGUAUAGACUAGAAAGUAACAUAGAUUGAUAACAGUGACAGAGCGAUUGACACAUGCAAGUACGCCCAUUCACUCACAGCAAUCGCAUAGCCCUGGUGAAGUUUGCGCUCUGCCCGGUCUGUUUCUUCUAUUCCAUUGCCUUUAUCGCGGUUCAUUUUGUUUCAGCCUAUGUCAUAUAGCGCAGGCACACAGCUGGAGUAUUGCGCGUGGACCGGAACUUUGCGUGGAAUACGUUCGUAGCAUAUACUACCAACUUAUAGGGCAAGUAAAAUUAAAAAAAAAAAUUAAACUUCCGGGAACUGUUAGUCGCUGAAAAAACGUAAACCCACAUAUCCAAGUUUUUACACUAGCGUUAUCUGUGGUUCAAAGCCACGUAUAUAGUUUUGCGUCGGUUUGCUUCAACCGUGAACUCUUGUUUCGCUGAAGAUUCUCUGGCACCUCUUUCUCUAAUAAAUCGAUUUGUGCUCGACGUGGUGCUGAACGUAUGCAGAGGCGGAUCCUGGGAAAUAAAGUAAACACCACAGCUUGAGGAUACUUGCGAAUUGACCUUUCUUAUCGAAAUCUCCACGUAAUGAUGUUGUGCCUAUGACCAGUGGUAGGAAGUUUACGUAGCGUUAGGCAUAUGAUGUUUAUAGUAUGUACCUACUUGCAAGAUCACCGGAUAUUUUAUAGGUACACUCUUCUAUGGGUCCAGUAGCAACUUCCUUCCGAAAAACACUUCAAGUCAGCGUUAGGUUUGGUGUAUUAAAGGGGAGCCUAUAACGUCAGGCUUCAUUGCACCAAUAAAGUGGAUAUGACAAUAAGAAACGCUUGUCUGACUUGAAGAAGCAAAAUUACGCAUUGGCAUGUUGUUGCGAUGGUCUGGAAGAUGUCGAGACCCUGCAAGCUAUAGUAUAGUCUGUAUAUACCGAUUGGCCUUCCGUACGAUGCUCCGUCAGCACGGUAAAGUUUGCCACUGCUAGGUGCAGUUUCACAGCACGCAUGUUCUGUGUACACGUAUAAAGAUGUAAAAUGUAGAUUGGUAUGCGAGGCCUAUUUUUGCAUACGAGAAGUUGAUAACUGUAUCAGCACACUUUCUACCGGGAUCUCGAGUAAAUAUUAUUACGAUAGUACUCGAGCAAGGGGAUGCGUGAUGGGCGAUUUGAGUGAUGUGUCGCGCAUUGCUUUAUUGUUAUGCGCGAGUGCGAACUUCCAUGCAUGUAAUCAUUUGUACAGUAAAGCCAGAUGAUGUCUAGCA
Long non-coding RNA from Dermacentor silvarum, 7856 nucleotides. RefSeq lists it as uncharacterized. The record is from RefSeq and is a predicted model, not a curated record. The transcript has 2 exons. Lineage: Eukaryota; Metazoa; Arthropoda; Arachnida; Ixodida; Ixodidae.